UGAGGAAUAUUGGUCAAUGGGCGAGAGCCUGAACCAGCCAAGUAGCGUGCAGGAUGACGGCCCUAUGGGUUGUGAACUGCUUUUAUAUGGGAAUAAAGUGAGGGACGUGUCCCUUAUUGCAUGUACCAUAUGAAUAAGGACCGGCUAAUUCCGUGCCAGCAGCCGCGGUAAUACGGAAGGUCCAGGCGUUAUCCGGAUUUAUUGGGUUUAAAGGGAGCGUAGGCUGUUUGUUAAGCGUGUUGUGAAAUGUAAGAGCUCAACUUUUAGAUUGCAGCGCGAACUGGCAGACUUGAGUGCGCACAACGUAGGCGGAAUUCAUGGUGUAGCGGUGAAAUGCUUAGAUAUCAUGACGAACUCCGAUUGCGAAGGCAGCUUACGGGAGCGCAACUGACGCUAAAGCUCGAAGGUGCGGGUAUCGAACAGG
RNAcentral lists this ribosomal RNA (424 nucleotides) under Verrucomicrobiota bacterium. Its description in RNAcentral is "Verrucomicrobia bacterium partial 16S ribosomal RNA". It matches the Rfam family "Bacterial small subunit ribosomal RNA", at positions 355 to 776 of the family's 1533-position model. The record is from RNAcentral. Lineage: Bacteria; Pseudomonadati; Verrucomicrobiota.